GAGAAAAUGAGAUUCUUUAUUUUCAUUAAUUUGGUAACUAUACAAUUGUUCUGUUUUUGUAUUUAUAUAGUUGCAAUACAAUCAGCUAUCCAAUUACACUAGGCCAACUCAGCUUAUUUAGUUACAACUGUAUAACUAGUCUUUGACUCUGACAACUAACUCUGCUUAGCUCAGGUUACCAGCUCCUCAAGUCACAACAUUACCCUGCCCUUCAAGAGUGUUCUUGUCCUCAAGAACAAACUUAUGAAAUUGCUGCUGCAUAAAAUCUUUAGCUUCCCAAGUAGCAUCUUGAGAAGAAAAAUGAUUCUCAUUGUACAAGAAUUUGCUCCACUUGAGUGACCAUCUCUUUGAAUUGUCCAAUGAUCCAGUGUUGCUAUUGGAGAAACCACAUAGGAAUCAUGCUUCCUGAAAUCUGGUAGAGAGUGUUGCACUAACCUUUUCAACACCAAGAAAGGCCCAAAACAUGAGUUGGCACAAAAUAGUACUAAACAAAACAAGAGUUGGAAUUCUGGCAAAGCUCCUUGCUUGAACCUUGGACAAUUUUCUUCAAAUGAACCACUGAUGCUGGACAAUGUAAACUUACAGGAAUAAAGCCAAAAUUCAAAUGAGAAAGUUCCUUUCAAGGGCAUUUUCACAAACAUAUUCUGUGCAACAAACUUUUUCAUUCUCUGUCUUCUCCGCAUCUCGAUCCAUUUUCCUUAAGAAUAGCAUUACCUUUUGAUUUCAUUAAACAAUCAUACCACUCAUAAUAUUGGAACUUUCUUACAAGAUCCACAGUUUUUGUAACUCCCCAUAUCUUCUUCACCAUGAAAAUUAAUAACUUGCACAAUUUCAAGCUUAGAAACCCUUUGAACAAAACUAAUCUUAUGAUGAAUAUCAGGAAAUUUAAAGAAUUCAAGGUCAAGAAACUGGAAAUUACUAUAUUCACUCAGAAAAUCCUUCAUCAAUUUUUGAUUUUUAUCCGUAGAUACAAUUUGCGGAAUGAUAUUGUUUGUGAGGCUUUGGUCUUCUUCACAACAUUGAAACGCUCAAGAGACUCUCAAUUUUUUUCUUCAAAAUUUUGUUCAUCAACAUCCUUAAUCCCAGAAUCAAUAUUAAUUGAUUCUUUAACUUGACAAAACUCUACACCAUCAUUCUCAAGAAUUUCAGUAGAUUGAAGAGCAACAAUUGUAUUAUUACCCUUACUUCCAGUAGUUCCAUCACUGGAUUCACCAACCUCUCUAACCCAAGACUAGGGAAAGGCAGAAUAUCUCUUUUCUCAUUCGCUUGAGAAUUAGACCCAACAACAAAUUGAGGAGCAGGAGCAGGAAAAACGGCUUCUGCACCUUUGGAGGGUUGAGAAACCUUAAACAACUCCAGCAGUUAGUCAAUCUUCUGAUUCAGCAGACUCGGCUCUUGUCACAACUCCACCUUAUCCUCUUGAUUCUUUCUUUGAUUCACUUGUAUCAGUUCCUCCAAUCUCGCUGAAUUCCCAUCCAUAGUAACAUGCAUUUCUCGAUUCAUCUCUUGGAACCUUAGCUCCCAGGCUUGCAUGCGAUCCUCUUAGGGUUAACCAUUGCCUUAUCCUCUGUAAUCGUCUGGUCCACAAACUCGAACUGCUUUGAUACCAAAUUGUCAGAUUCUUGGCGCAUGAACCCAACUCAGCUACCAUUCCUUAUCAACAAUUGAAUACAGAAGAGAGAAUAGAUGAAAAGGAAGAGAAUAGAAGAAGAAGGAGGAGGAAGAUAGAAGCAGAGAAAGAGAGAGAACAGAAAUUAGAGGGAGAAAAUGAGAUUCUUUAUUUUAUUAAUUUGGCAACUAAACAAUUGUUCUGUAUUCGUAUUUAUAC
This 1828-nucleotide unclassified non-coding RNA is filed under the name Hevea brasiliensis (rubber tree). Lineage: Eukaryota; Viridiplantae; Streptophyta; Magnoliopsida; Malpighiales; Euphorbiaceae. The record is from RNAcentral.